GGAGAGAGGGACACAGGGAGCAGGGAAAGGACACAGGGAGCAAGGGAAGGGACACAAGGAGUGAGAAGGACAUGGGGAACAGGGAAGGGACAUGAGGAGCAUGGAGAGAGACAGAAGGGGCAGGAAGGGACACGAGGAACAGGGAAGGGACACGAGGGAGGAGCAGGGAGCACACGAGGAGCAGGCGAUGCUCUCAGGGGAUGCUCUCAGGUGGUUCUCAGGGGAUGCUCUCAGGUGAUGCUCUCAGGGGAUGCUCUCAGGUGUUUCUCAGGUGAUGCUCAGGUGAUGCUCUCAGGUGGUUCUCAGGUGAUGCUCUCAGGUGAUGCUCUCAGGUGAUGCUCCAAUGAUGCUCUCAGGUGAUGCUCUCAGCUGAUGCUCUCAGCUGAUGCUCUCAGCUGAUGCUCUCAGGUGUUUCUCAGGUGAUGCUCUCAGGUGAUGCUCACGUGAUGCUCUCAGGUGUUUCUCAGGUGAUGCUCUCAGGUGAUGCUCUCAGGUGAUGCUCCAAUGAUGCUCUCAGGUGAUGCUCUCAGCUGAUGCUCUCAGCUGAUGCUCUCAGGUGUUUCUCAGGUGAUGCUCUCAGGUGAUGCUCACGUGAUGCUCUCAGGUGUUUCUCAGGUGAUGCUCACGUGAUGCUCUCAGGUGUUUCUCAGGUGGUUCUCAGCUGACGCUCUCAGCUGAUGCUCUCAGGUGUUUCUCAGGUGAUGCUCUCAGGUGAUGCUCUCAGGUGGUUCUCAGGUGGUUCUCAGGUGGUUCUCAGCUGAUGCUCUCAGCUGAUGCUCUCAGGUGUUUCUCAGGUGAUGCUCUCAGGUGAUGCUCUCAGGUGGUUCUCAGGUGGUUCUCAGCUGACGCUCUCAGCUGAUGCUCUCAGCUGUUUCUCAGGUGAUGCUCUCAGGUGAUGCUCUCCAGUGAUGCUCUCUCUCAGGUGAUGUUUUCUGGUGGUGGUCUCAGGGAAUGCUCUCAGGUGAUGCUCAGGUGAUGCUCAGGUGAUGAUUUUAGGUGCUGCUCUUCAGGGAUGUCCGGAUGACGCUCUCAGGUGAUGCUCAGGUGAUGCUCUCCACUGAUGUUCUUGGUGAUGCUCUCAGGUGAUGUCCCAGGUGAUGUUUUUUGGUGAUGCUCAGGUGUUGCUCUCCAGAGAUGUUCUCAGGUGCCUCUCUCAGGUGCUGCUCUCUCUCCAUCGAUUCCCUCCCAUCAAUCCCCUCCCAUCAUUUCCUUCCCAUCGAUUCCCUCCCACUGAUUCCCUCUCCAUCAAUUCCCUCCCUGUUGUUUCCCUCUCCAUGGAUUCCCUCUCCAUGGAUUCCUUCCCACUGAUUCCCUCUCCAUUGAUUCUCUCCCCAUUUGAUUCCCUCUCCAUGGAUUCCCUCGCCAUCGAUUCCCUCUCCGUUGAUUCCCCCUCUGCCGAUUCCAUCCCUCCCUGUCUCCCACAGAGACGAUCCCAUGGCAGCCCCUCCCUGGAGGAGAUCUCGCGAUCCCGGUUUUCCCCUCGCUCCAGCUCAAUCCUUGUCCCCCCCAGGGUGGCAGCGAGGGGGACACAGGGUCGGGAUUAGGGACAGGGGCCGGAUGAGCUGCUCUCGGCAUUCCCAAGGGUUUGGGGGACUGGUCUGGGAUAGGCCUUGGAAAAGGGGCCCAGGGCAUGUCCCAGGAAUGCUCCGAGUCCCAGGGAAGGGUUUGGAGUCUCCCGGGCAGCCUCUGCUCCUGUCUGCUCCCAGGUUUCCUGGGAAAGGGAAAGGAAAAGGGAGAGGGAAAAGAGGGAAGUGGAAAGGAAA
This is a long non-coding RNA of Corvus hawaiiensis (hawaiian crow), 1763 nucleotides long. RefSeq lists it as uncharacterized. Lineage: Eukaryota; Metazoa; Chordata; Aves; Passeriformes; Corvidae. The record is from RefSeq and is a predicted model, not a curated record. The transcript is spliced from 3 exons.